AGUGAACGCUGGCGGUAGGCCUAACACAUGCAAGUCGAACGGCAGCACAGUAAGAGCUUGCUCUUACGGGUGGCGAGUGGCGGACGGGUGAGGAAUACAUCGGAAUCUACUUUUUCGUGGGGGAUAACGUAGGGAAACUUACGCUAAUACCGCAUACGCCCUACGGGUGAAAGCAGGGGAUCUUCGCACCUUGCGCGAUUGAAUGAGCCGAUGUCGGAUUAGCUAGUUGGCGGGGUAAAGGCCCACCAAGGCGACGAUCGGUAGCUGGUCUGAGAGGAGGAUCAGCCACACUGGAACUGAGACACGGUCCAGACUCCUACGGGAGGCAGCAGUGGGGAAUAUUGGACAAUGGGCGCAAGCCUGAUCCAGCCAUACCGCGUGGGUGAAGAAGGCGUUCGGGUUGUAAAGCCCUUUUGUUGGGAAAGAAAAGCAGCAGGUUAAUACCCCGCUGUUCUGACGGUACCCAAAGAAUAAGCACCGGCUAACUUCGUG
This 492-nucleotide ribosomal RNA is filed under the name uncultured bacterium. Its description in RNAcentral is "partial 16S ribosomal RNA". It matches the Rfam family "Bacterial small subunit ribosomal RNA", at positions 29 to 507 of the family's 1533-position model. The record is from RNAcentral.